Molecule: non-coding RNA, 593 nt
Organism: Malus domestica (apple)
Lineage: Eukaryota; Viridiplantae; Streptophyta; Magnoliopsida; Rosales; Rosaceae
Source: RefSeq, a predicted model, not a curated record
AUAAGAAACCAACCGUAGGGCUCCCAUUUCCUUUGGCACAGAACCCCUCCCCAAGUAACCUGCUUUCGCCGUCAACUCCUUCCUCUCUGGUUAGGGUUGGCAGGUAACCCCCUUCUCUUCCUCCUUGUCCUUCUCCUCUCUAGCUCACUACCCCUAUUACACCCCACCCCUGUUUUUGUUUUAAAAAUUAUUUUGGGGUCUUAUUUUGUGUGCCCCCGGCCCCAAUCUCUCUUCAUCAUCUCUUUCUCUCUCUUUUCCCUAACUUUCUCCUCUUUACCUGUGCUCUCUCUUUGCAUUUCUCCAUUUGUCCGAGCACCACCCCUACACACCCAUAACUACAAACGACGACAACACCACCCUCUAAUCCAACUUUCUCUCCUUCUCACCACAGUGCAAACAUUUCAUCGAUGAGUUAUCGUUGUUUUCGAAGAAGGUUUGGAUAUGAAAACACUUCAAGAUGGCCUUUCCCAGUUUCCGGAGGACACCCGUGGCUUCCAGGUGGUUUUUCGGCCAACUCCGGGCACGAUGACAAGAACCAAGGGACUUAGAAUCGAGGCAUACAAUCCCGGCGUCAAGGCACUUCCGCAUCAGCA